Long non-coding RNA from Oncorhynchus keta (chum salmon), 749 nucleotides. RefSeq lists it as uncharacterized. The record is from RefSeq and is a predicted model, not a curated record. The transcript has 3 exons. NCBI's taxonomy places the organism in Eukaryota, Metazoa, Chordata, Actinopteri, Salmoniformes, Salmonidae.
GGUAGCCUAGUGGUUAGAGUGUAGGGGCGGCAGGGUAGCCUAGUGGUUAGAGUGUAGAGGUGGUAGGGUAGCCUAGUGGUUAGAGUGUAGAGGUGGCAGGGUAGCCUAGUGGUUAGAGUGUAGAGGUGGUAGGGUAGCCUAGUGGUUAGAGUGUAGAGGUGGCAGGGUAGCCUAGUGGUUAGAGUGUAGGGGCGGCAGGGUAGCCUAGUGGUUAGAGUGUAGAGGUGGUAGGGUAGCCUAGUGGUUAGAGUGUAGGGGCGGCAGGUAGCCUAGUGGUUAGAGUGUAGAGGCGGAAGGGUAGCCUAGUGGUUAGAGUGUAGAGGCGGCAGGGUAGCCUAGUGGUUAGAGUGUAGAGGCGGCAGGGUAGCCUAGUGGUUAGAGUGUAGAGGCGGCAGGGUAGCCUAGUGGUUAGAGUGUAGAGGCGGCAGGGUAGCCUAGUGGUUAGAGUGUAGAGGCGGCAGGGUAGCCUAGUGGUUAGAGUGUAGAGGUGGCAGGGUAGCCUAGUGGUUAGAGUGUAGAGGUGGCAGGGUAGCCUAGUGGUUAGAGUGUAGAGGCGGCAGGGUAGCCUAGUGGUUAGAGUGUAGAGGCGGCAGGGUAGCCUAGUGGUUAGAGUGUAGAGGUGGCAGGGUAGCCUAGUGGUUAGAGUGUAGAGGUGGCAGGGUAGCCUAGUGGUUAGAGUGUAGAGGCGGCAGGGUAGCCUUGUGGUUAGAGUGUUGAGGUGGCAGGGUAGCCUAGUGGUUAGAGUGUAG